UACAGAGGCCCCAAGCGUUGUUCGGAUUCAUUGGGCGUAAAGGGUGUGUAGGUGGCGCCGUAAGUCGGGUGUGAAAUCUCGGGGCUUAACUCCGAAACUGCAUUCGAUACUGCGGUGCUUGAGGACUGGAGAGGAGACUGGAAUUCAUGGUGUAGCAGUGAAAUGCGUAGAGAUCAUGAGGAAGACCAGUGGCGAAGGCGGGUCUCUGGACAGUUCCUGACACUGAGGCACGAAGGCCAGGGGAGCAAACGGG
RNAcentral lists this ribosomal RNA (253 nucleotides) under uncultured bacterium. Its description in RNAcentral is "partial 16S ribosomal RNA". It matches the Rfam family "Bacterial small subunit ribosomal RNA", at positions 524 to 776 of the family's 1533-position model. The record is from RNAcentral.